Long non-coding RNA from Oncorhynchus keta (chum salmon), 1770 nucleotides. RefSeq lists it as uncharacterized. The record is from RefSeq and is a predicted model, not a curated record. NCBI's taxonomy places the organism in Eukaryota, Metazoa, Chordata, Actinopteri, Salmoniformes, Salmonidae. The transcript is spliced from 3 exons.
GGCGAUCACGCAGAGUAGGAACAAAAGCCGUCUGUUAUGAAAGGACCAACGAGUGAAGCUGCAGUGUUUGGGUUUCUGGCCACGUUCGCCGAUGCCGCUUGAGUGGAGGGGAGAAACAACAGAUUCCCAUCGCUCUCUCGUGGUCUAGGCUGGGGAGAAUACUGCGUGUGACUCCAUUUAGUACAAUAACCUUAUUUAUCUCUCUUGCCAUUCAAGCACAAGUCAUCUUUUUGGCGAACAUUUUAGUAUGAUAAACUUCAUUGAUUAAUUUGAUGAGCAAUAUAAACUUUUGAGAUAUCUUUAACAUGAACCAAAGCGGAUAUCUGGUACUAUUUUGGAUUAUAAAGAUACCCAUUGAAGAAGAAAAGAAAAAGUGAUUGUACAUACUGGAAGGUGCACCUGUCCGAAAACAAGAUGGCGUCUCAUGUUACCUUGACGUCUCAGAUACCAGGGACUGGGAGGAGGAGGGCCCAGGUCAAACCUACAAGGAUCAACCACCAAAUUACAGAUGGAGGAUGAGAAAAAGAAAGAGAGUGGGUGGAUGGAGUGAAGGAUGAAGGCUGAGUAGACAACUGAACAGAGACAGGCCCUAUGCGGCAGUUCAUUCGUUCAUCGCCAUGGGCUCUUGUCCUCCUCUCUCCUCCCCUGGUCUAUACUCCCAUCACAGGGUCGUUUGGAGUGUGUGAGGCCCAAAAACAGAGCUUGUGAGUGGGCUGGCGAUGCAGGAAGAAGUCCCUGCUGGUUACCAGCACCUCUGGAGCUGACGGCAAAAUAAAUCAAUAUGGAGAAGAGAAUGUUACCCCACAGCCUAGAGGCCUGAAGACCUCCAGAGGAGAGGCCCAUCUCAACCUUGCUCAGCCGCAGCCAAAGUUCCUGAGACUGGGCCUGGGUCCCUACCGGCUCUUGGUGUGUGUGGUUCUGCUGCUGGAGGGGGCCUCCCAACAAACAACACAUGAUACACGCUCUCCUGAGUUAUUGUUUCUUUUUUUGAAAGAAUGCUUAAGGGGAUAUCCCUCUCUCUUUAUUUUUGUUUUCUUAAAAAUAAGAUUGACAUACUCCCCUACCUUCCCUGUGUUGCUGUGUGUAAAUGCUGGCAGAGGGGUUCACAUUUUGAUUCAGACUUCAAAUCCACUCACUGCUUAUUCCCUGGGACACUUUUACAUUUGACAAAGAGACAGUUUACUCUGGUGUGCUGCCUCCAAAGCAGUAUACAAACAACAACAACCACUAAAAUUGACAUUUUUUUCAAACUUGUGUUUAUUAGGAUCUUUAUUGUUAAAUUCCAAUCUUUUUUUAUUUGGCAUGAUCAAAGACCAUAGAACGAAAGACUAAAACCCAGUCCCAGUUAAACCCAGGCCCAGUAAAACCCAUGUCAGACCUCUAAUCAACACAGUUCCUUCAUUCUGACCAGCUAGAAAAAAGGGACAGAAAGGAUCCUGGUCAACACAAGACAACAAAAAGGAUCCUGGACAACACAAGACAACGAAAAGGAUCCUGGACAACACAAGACCACGAAAAGGAUCCUGGACAACACAAGACAACGAAAAGGAUCCUGGACAACACAAGACCACGAAAAGGAUCCUGGACAACACAAGACAACGAAAAGGAUCCUGGACAACACAAGACCACGAAAAGGAUCCUGGACAACACAAGACAACGAAAAGGAUCCUGGACAACACAAGACCACGAAAAGGAUCCUGGACAACACAAGACCACGAAAAGGAUCCUGGACAACACAAGACAACGAAAAGGAUCCUGGACAACACAAGA